GAACUGUAUGAAAUAAGACACAAGUGGGCGAAGCCAUAUUUCAAAGGUGUUUUCUGUGCUAAGAUGACAAGCACCCAAUGCAGUGAAAGUGCAAACCACAUGCUGAAGAGCUAUGUCCCACCUGGUUGUCUGAUGCAUAUGUUUGUCAAAAAAUACAUGAGACUGCAGUUUGACAGGGAAGCUGAGGAGAACUACGAGGAGAAACGGACACGAAUAGUAAGUCAACGUUUGGUAAUUGCCACUAGUUUUGUAGUGCUGACCUCUACGUUUCAGGGUAGAACACUAUACAAAGCAAACUUAGCUAUUGACAGACAUGCUGGUAAGAUAUAG
This 330-nucleotide ribosomal RNA is filed under the name Triticum aestivum (bread wheat). Its description in RNAcentral is "partial small subunit ribosomal RNA". Lineage: Eukaryota; Viridiplantae; Streptophyta; Magnoliopsida; Poales; Poaceae. The record is from RNAcentral.